AACGAUUCAGGAUUUUGUCAAUCAAUCUCCUUCAUUUUCCUACUCUCUCCAUCUCAAAAUGAGAUUCCAUUUUAUCUUUUCAGGACAUCCAAAAAGAUUCCAUUUUCACAAUUAAUCAAUUAACCAAAUCUCCUUAUAUUCAACUAGUUUGUAAUAUUGAUCAUGUUUUUUUAAGUCAAAUUUUUUCUUUAAAAUUUUACUGUAAUUGAUGAACUCUCAUUUUGGGACAAAGGGAAUUCUAUAUUCACAAAGACCCAUUCCCCAAUUAAUCACAUAAUAAAAUAACAAUCACACCCCAAUAUUUUUCCCAAAAGCCAACCCUUUCAAUAGGCAAAGAAAAAUGACACUAAAUUAAUUAAUUUUGGAGAAAAUCCAAUCAAAAUAAAAUCAAGUCCAUUCAAAAAUGUAUUCAGUCACUCUUUAAAUUAAAAUCAACAGCGGCACAAAUAUAUGUAUUUUAAGUAUAUACAGAGAGAGAGAGUUGAGAGAGCAAAUACCAGCCAUUGAAAUUUCUGCUACUGAAUCAUUACCGUCAGUAUCAUCUCUUACAUAAUUCGUGUAAUCAGUCCACAAAAAUUCAUAUCACAGCGAUACAAACGGGAAAGAAGAAAAAAUUGUAGAAGAGAGCUUACAAUUGUUUGGGCUCGAAAGAUUAUUACUUCAUUAUGUAAAAUAGAGGGUUUAGAG
This 687-nucleotide long non-coding RNA is filed under the name Panax ginseng (ginseng). RNAcentral's name for it is "long non-coding RNA (PGIN_LNC014885)". Lineage: Eukaryota; Viridiplantae; Streptophyta; Magnoliopsida; Apiales; Araliaceae. The record is from RNAcentral.